GGGCUGAGUGUUUCCAGUCAACGAGGAAAAGCCAGAAGCCCCACUGUUUGAGUAUGGUGCUGAGGGAAUCAAAGCCGGUGGAGUUUCAGGGGUGCCAGUGCACCUGUGUGGCAGGUACAGUCCUGUGCAGCCAUGUGGCAGCUCUGCUUUUCCAGACGGCUCACUACUCCCAGUUGAAGCUUCCAGCUGUUCCUCCAGUCCUAAGCUGCACAGACACCGAACAGAAGUGGCAUAAACCGAGGACAAUGGGCAUAAAACCUGGUCCAGUUAAGGACAUGGUCGUCCUGUCAGCAAAACCAAGAGAGAGGAAAAUCUUUGAAGGAAUUAGAAGCAACUUGUAUAAAGGCACUACCAGCCCUCUGCCACUCAUCUCGACCCUAAGGAUACAGGAUGUGUACCGGGGACUUCCAGCUGAAGAAGCGCCAAUGAUCACCACAAUGGCUGUCUCCAACGAUGUCCCUCUUGUUGACUCUUUGUUUGGUCCAGUACAAGAGGGAAGUGUUCUGUCAUAUCAGCUGCCAGCAAAGGUAGUUCCCAGGACCCGUCCACACCAACACGUCCUUUCUCCCCCACAGCUUCCACUCUACAAUUACAGGCUUGAACACUCCAGCUGUGCGUAUGUAUGUUCAGAACAACAGCAACACCAUAUGAUGUCCCUUGAGACAACGUUAGAGAUGUCUCACAAAAUUGAGAGCAGCACACGGGAGCAGAGCUUCUGUCCAGAGUGGCACCAACUAAGAAAGUGUCGUGUUACUUCAACAAGGUUUAGGGAGGUCUGUCACACCAGGGGUGACAGCUCUUCUGAAAAUCUUGCGAAAAGGCUUCUGAGACCCUGCAGUCAAACUGCUGACAUGCGUCGGGGGCUUACCCUAGAGCCAACAGCUAUAGAGGAGUAUUGCAGGGUAAGGGAAGUAAACCACUACCCAUGUGGGUUCUUGAUACAUCCUGAA
This is a long non-coding RNA of Nematolebias whitei (Rio pearlfish), 950 nucleotides long. RefSeq lists it as uncharacterized. The record is from RefSeq and is a predicted model, not a curated record. The transcript is spliced from 4 exons. NCBI's taxonomy places the organism in Eukaryota, Metazoa, Chordata, Actinopteri, Cyprinodontiformes, Rivulidae.